GCCUGGAGCGGCAGAGGGAGCAGCUCCAGCGGCUCCGGGAUGAGCUGUCCCCUGCUCCAGGGACACUGCUGGGGACAGUCCCCAUCAAUGGGCUGGCUCCGGUGGCUCCUGGGCUCCUGCCUCCCGUGGGGAUGUUCCUGGGGGACAGCAGGGACCACCCAGGCUCGGCUGCACUCUAUGGACACCUCCUGCUGCUCAAGCACCGUGCCCAGAUGGACCACGAUUUCCUGGAGAACGAGCAGCUCUUCUUGGAGUCCCUGAAGAAAGGGCCCUGAACUCCCCCUGCAUCCCUGGGGAUUUCUGUG
Molecule: non-coding RNA, 305 nt
Organism: Pseudopodoces humilis (Tibetan ground-tit)
Lineage: Eukaryota; Metazoa; Chordata; Aves; Passeriformes; Paridae
Source: RefSeq, a predicted model, not a curated record